This 76-nucleotide transfer RNA is filed under the name Bacillota bacterium. RNAcentral's name for it is "tRNA-Glu". It matches the Rfam family "tRNA". Rfam says of the family: Transfer RNA (tRNA) molecules are approximately 80 nucleotides in length. Their secondary structure includes four short double-helical elements and three loops (D, anti-codon, and T loops). RNAcentral also lists the same sequence under 2 other names. The record is from RNAcentral. Lineage: Bacteria; Bacillati; Bacillota.
GUCCCGUUGGUCAAGUGGCCUAAGACUCCACCCUCUCACGGUGGCAACGGGGGUUCGACUCCCCCACGGGAUACCA